RNAcentral lists this long non-coding RNA (202 nucleotides) under Sphenodon punctatus (tuatara). RNAcentral describes it as "Rhabdomyosarcoma 2 associated transcript conserved region 6 (ENSSPUG00000011755.1)". It matches the Rfam family "Rhabdomyosarcoma 2 associated transcript conserved region 6". Lineage: Eukaryota; Metazoa; Chordata; Lepidosauria; Sphenodontia; Sphenodontidae. The record is from RNAcentral.
UGAUCGACGAUCGCACCCGCCAGCUGGCUAAUAUCAUAAUUAACAAAGUUGCUACCACGUCUGGGAAGUUUAAUCGAAAAAUUUGCCAGCAGUGUGUUGCCAUUGUCACAAAGAUCACAAGCUCUGCAGAGUCGACUUUUGCACUAGUGGGGCUGCAGAACUGUGUAGGCACUGUGAGAAGUGGUGCAAUUGAACAGCUGAA